GCCGCGGUAGUAUAGCCCGGUCAAGUAUGCGGGCCUUUCGAGCCCGUGACACGUUUGUGUGCGGGAGACCCGGGUUCAAAUCCCGGCCGCGGCA
Molecule: transfer RNA, 94 nt
Filed under: Acidilobales archaeon
Lineage: Archaea; Thermoproteati; Thermoproteota; Thermoprotei; Acidilobales
Description: tRNA-Glu
Rfam family: tRNA
About the family: Transfer RNA (tRNA) molecules are approximately 80 nucleotides in length. Their secondary structure includes four short double-helical elements and three loops (D, anti-codon, and T loops).
Source: RNAcentral